AGAGUUUGAUCAUGGCUCAGGAUGAACGCUGGCGGCGUGCCUAACACAUGCAAGUCGAACGAAGCGCCUUUUGAGAUUCUUCGGAUGAUUGAUUGGUGACUGAGUGGCGGACGGGUGAGUAACGCGUGGGUAACCUGCCCUGUACAGGGGGAUAACAGCUGGAAACGGCUGCUAAUACCGCAUAAGCGCACGAGGAGAUAUCUUCUUGUGUGAAAAACUCCGGUGGUACAGGAUGGGCCCGCGUCUGAUUAGCUGGUUGGCAGGGUAACGGCCUACCAAGGCAACGAUCAGUAGCCGGUCUGAGAGGAUGAACGGCCACAUUGGAACUGAGACACGGUCCAAACUCCUACGGGAGGCAGCAGUGGGGAAUAUUGCACAAUGGGGGAAACCCUGAUGCAGCAACGCCGCGUGAGUGAAGAAGUAUUUCGGUAUGUAAAGCUCUAUCAGCAGGGAAGAUAAUGACGGUACUCAACAAGGAAGUGACGGCUAACUACGUGCCAGCAGCCGCGGUAAAACGUAGGUCACAAGCGUUGUCCGGAAUUACUGGGUGUAAAGGGAGCGCAGGCGGGAAGACAAGUUGGAAGUGAAAUCCAUGGGCUCAACCCAUGAACUGCUUUCAAAACUGUUUUUCUUGAGUAGUGCAGAGGUAGGCGGAAUUCCCGGUGUAGCGGUGGAAUGCCUAGAUAUCGGGAGGAACACCAGUGGCGAAGGCGGCCUACUGGGCACCAACUGACGCUGAGGCUCGAAAGUGUGGGUAGCAAACAGGAUUAGAUACCCUGGUAGUCCACACUGUAAACGAUGAUUACCAGGUGUUGGAGGAUUGACCCCUUCAGUGCCGCAGUUAACACAAUAAGUAAUCCACCUGGGGAGUACGACCGCAAGGUUGAAACUCAAAGGAAUUGACGGGGGCCCGCACAAGCAGUGGAGUAUGUGGUUUAAUUCGACGCAACGCGAAGAACCUUACCAAGUCUUGACAUCCCUUGACGAUGCUGGAAACAGUAUUUCUCUUCGGAGCAAGGAGACAGGUGGUGCAUGGUUGUCGUCAGCUCGUGUCGUGAGAUGUUGGGUUAAGUCCCGCAACGAGCGCAACCCUUAUGGUCAGUUACUACGCAAGAGGACUCUGGCCAGACUGCCGUUGACAAAACGGAGGAAGGUGGGGAUGACGUCAAAUCAUCAUGCCCUUUAUGACUUGGGCUACACACGUACUACAAUGGCGUUAAACAAAGAGAAGCAAGACCGCGAGGUGGAGCAAAACUCAGAAACAACGUCCCAGUUCGGACUGCAGGCUGCAACUCGCCUGCACGAAGUCGGAAUUGCUAGUAAUCGCAGAUCAGCAUGCUGCGGUGAAUACGUUCCCGGGCCUUGUACACACCGCCCGUCACACCAUGAGAGCCGGGGGGACCCGAAGUCGGUAGUCUAACCGCAAGGAGGACGCCGCCGAAAGUAAAACUGGUGAUUGGGGUGAAGUCGAACAAGGUA
Molecule: ribosomal RNA, 1479 nt
Filed under: metagenome
Description: bacterial SSU rRNA
Rfam family: Bacterial small subunit ribosomal RNA
Source: RNAcentral